Molecule: ribosomal RNA, 250 nt
Filed under: uncultured bacterium
Lineage: Bacteria
Description: partial 16S ribosomal RNA
Rfam family: Bacterial small subunit ribosomal RNA
Source: RNAcentral
UACGUAGGUGGCGAGCGUUAAUCGGAUUUACUGGGCGUAAAGGGUCCGUAGGGGGUCUGCCAAGUCGGCUGUGAAAUGCCGCGGCUCAACCGCGGCACUGCACUCGAUACUGGCGGGCUUGAGUCCGCGAGGGGUGAACGGAAUUCCUGGUGUAGCGGUGGAAUGCGUAGAUAUCAGGAAGAACGCCGAUGGCGAAAGCGGUUCACUGGCGCGGCACUGACCCUGAGGGACGAAAGCGUGGGUAGCAAAC